Molecule: ribosomal RNA, 372 nt
Filed under: uncultured Glomeromycotina
Lineage: Eukaryota; Fungi; Glomeromycota
Description: LSU rRNA
Source: RNAcentral
UUGAAAGGGAAACGAUUGAAGUCAGUCGUACCGGUGGGUAAUCAGCCUUUCGGCGUGAUUAUGUGGAGCGUGAGGAGUCAAACGCCCUCAUGCCUGCAUAUUCGUGUUCUUUGGGUGUACUUACCCGCAUGGUAGGUUAACAUCAAUUUCGAACGUCAUAAAAUGGUUGGAGGAAUGUAGCUUCGAUCUCGUAUUGAAGUGUUAUAGACUCCGGCAGAUGUGAUGAUCGGGAUUGAGGAUUGCAACGGAUACCCUUCGGGGCUACCCGUCUGAUCUCUGAAAGUUGCUCUGGUGCCGAAAGCUCGCUUACGGUCAUCAAAGUUGACGUUCAACAGGUUAGAACGGGAUAAAUUCGUUAAGGAUGUUGACGUA